UUUGUUUGUUGUGAUAGACAAAAAAGUCUUACAUUUUUUAUUGGUUUUCACACAAUACUAUUUAUUAUGUAAAUUGAUAAAGCAUUCUUUAACUGACCAAUAUGACCUCAGGUAAGUUUUUGCUUUUUCUGUUCAGAUCAUUUUAGCGAAUACAAAGCAUCAAAAAGCCUACCCUGCUGAAAUUAGUUUUCAAACAAAUGAAGGUAAAUUAAGACCCUACAAAUUACCAAAUAGAGAAAAAAGAAAGACAAAAAGCAGUAUUAGAAUAAAAUAAAGAUCAAAACCAUUCUAUAGCAGUUGACACAUCAUUUUAUUUUCAGUACUUCUCGUAAAAGGCCGCAAUGGUAAAGACUUGCUGAUGCUCGAAGGCUACACUUACUACCAGCACAAGAUUUUGAGGGACGGAUUCCGGUGGAGCUGCACUCAGAUGGGCUCCAGAUCUUGCCGAGGGUUUCUCCAUGUGACCAAUGAUAUGUUCGUGGUUAGGGCUUUCACUGAACACACACAUCCACCGACUACGUAUGCCCGGAAAACUUUCAAGACUCAAAGGAAGAUAAAUGACAAUAAAAGGCACAAGUUGGUAAAAGAGGCCCUCAACCCACUGGCUCUAAAAAUAGCCAACAUCAAAGGCCGAGUUGGUUUCUGAUUCAUAAGGAAGGCCGUUUAAAAAGAUCUUAAUAUAGAUGUUAGAAUAGAACCUGUAUCCCUAAUUGUAUGUAUUAACGAAUAAAUCGUGCUUUAGGUGUUAAGGGUUAUGCAUAGCAAUAUUACUUACUAUUUAGAUAAUUUUAUUAAGAUAUAUAUUUCAACUACUUAGAGUUAUUGACCUUAAAUAUUUCAAUUUUUGAUGUGUAAUAUUUUAAUUUUUAAAUAUUUUAAGUUUAUUAUGUUUUUAAUGUGUUUAUUUAAACGAUAAAACGCCAGGGAAAUUAUUUUUGAGGGUUUUUUUUUCUGAAACAUUGGAAGGGCCAAAAAUGGACAGAUUUAUCAACCAGUAUUUAUAUUUUGUAUUUGUACUAAUGUGUGCCUAACAUCGUUUAUAAGUCUUGGUAAAACUAACACGUUAUGGGCUCAUAAAGCCUGAUAGAUGAUACACGAUUUUUAUGUUUACUUUUGAAAAUAUAUUUUCUUUGACAUUUGAGAAAAAAUAUGUCAUUGAAUUAGCUAUGCCUGGAGAUUAUCUUGUCCACUCUCUUAAGCCUCAGAAGAUCCUUUAUGUAUGAUAAUACAAUCAAAAGAUAAGCUAGGAAGUGAAUCUACAAUUGCUGGAAAUAAAGUUGAUUUUCCAAUGACUUAGGUAUACUAUUUAUAGUAUAUGCACCUGUAUAUGUCAGCUUAGUUAUCUGAUGCUCGGUAAAAAUAUUUAAUUAUUUUUUCUUUCUGCCCCGUUGCCAGUUAAUCUACGUUUGACACAAUUCGUUUUUGGUUUCCAUGCCUCAUACUUUUUGCUGUCGCCUAUAUCUACCUACAAUGAAUAUUUAGGUUAGAGGUGUAGUUCACUUACCCAUUCUCAAAAAAAUAGGUUUUUUCCAAGCAAUUAUUUGAUUGUUAGUUUAAGAUAAUAUAGACCAACGUCUCGAAAUUAUGGAUAAGCAAUAAAAAAUAUUUUGAUCAACUUAAUCGAUCCAUCCGUUGUUUUGUGAUCAGAGAUUGAAUUUUAACAUAAGCUUCAUAUAAUCUAUGUAAUGAAAACCAGCGCUGGGACUCACUUAUGCUGAGCGAGGGCCGUAUUGCGCGUUUUAAGACGCAUAUUUUCCCUUUCAAUUUUUAUGUUCUUAUUAUCUUUUUUUCUGUGCAUUUUGUUAAGGGCAUUUAUGCGUCUUAUAUUUUCGCAAUAAAACUCAUUUUCUUUCUUUCUUUCUUUACUUAUGUGAAAUUACAAUAUCUAAUCGAAAACACCAGAUGGAUCGGUUAUUGGAGUCCGCAGUUAAUUGACAAACGAUCUCAGUACUUUUAGUUCAGUUACAGACAAUGCAAUAUUUUUGAAAAUGCAGCAAGUAUUAUGUGAAAUUAUUACGUUUUUAAUUGAUAUUUUAAGUAUAAGUUUAAAAUAAUUUACUGUAUAAAUAAGUUUUAUGAAUCUUCAUAGAAAACUAAAAGAUGAAUCUGUGUUACUCUCAAAGUUUUUUCUGCGACGAUAGACUUUUUAGUCGAACUUAAAGUUAAUUAAUGUUCGAGAAUUUCGAGGAUAUAUUCCACUCUCUCUCUCUUAAACACUACUGUCUAAAAGGGUUAUUAUUCACUUAUUUUACUGAUUAAUAUGGUAUUAAAUGUAUAUUAUCUUUAAGUUCAUAAAUAGUGAUUUUAUUAAAAAUGAUUGCAAUAACUUUUAGCUUUAGGUUAUAAGAAAUCAUGUUUAAAAUUAUUAUACAAUUUAAUAUUGUAUUUUGGUAGUAAGGGAUGGUACUUGUACUUGAUGAAUCGUGGACAUAGUAUUUCGUAUUUACUGUGAUACAAAAGGGUUAAGGUUGCCUGCCCACAUCCGAUAAACGGUGACCGAUUUUUUGUAGGAGGAGAAUAGAACACACCCAAACAAUAGAGCAACGCACACGUCCUACAAAAAUCGUCCCGAUUAUCUGUUCUGCAAAGUCUGACGUGGGCAGGCAGCCUAAAUAUUAUUUUCUAAAAUGCCUUUCAAGAUAAAAGGUGUCCACGACUCAAUGCGAAAAACAAUAACCGGAAAUAAAUCAUAGGUACAUUUAAUAACGCCUCCAUGUGAAUAUAAAGUAAAUUAUACAUAGAUGUAUUACAAAAAUAAACUUUGGUUUAAAAAAAUUGCUUUAUUAAAACAAAAUGGGAGCCUUCCUUCUGCUUAUAAGAUUUUCGCCGAUAAACUAGCCUAAAAUUAUAAAAUGAUGUGACAA
Helicoverpa zea (corn earworm) is the source of this 2864-nucleotide long non-coding RNA. RefSeq lists it as uncharacterized. The transcript is spliced from 2 exons. NCBI's taxonomy places the organism in Eukaryota, Metazoa, Arthropoda, Insecta, Lepidoptera, Noctuidae. The record is from RefSeq and is a predicted model, not a curated record.